GUGUGUGCGUAUGAACGAUCAGGAGAAAGGGAGAGAAGGGGUGCAAGCCCUAAUUCAUGAAAAAUCUUCAAAUUGAAGGGAAAUUAAGCUCAAAUCCGAUGCAUGAACUCGUUUUCUUGAUGAUCUAACCCUAGCAAACAUGUGGCAUGAAUACUAACAUUAUUACGGCAUGACAACAUGAAAGAAUUGGAACCACACAAGCAUGGACCAAGCAUGGAAGGAUAACGGGUCAAGAUGAGGCAAGGAAGCGGUUACGAGCACGGAUGCACAAGGUAAGUGACUUCCGACUCACUUCUUAGUAUGCAUAUAGAUUUCAUGUUCAUGAGUGCGGGAAAUUAUGUAAGAUUAUGCAAUGAUGAAAGUUUCAAGAUAAGUAUUGAUCUAGUUUAGACGAGGAAAGUUAUCUAAGUCGAAGGAUUUUUGAUGAGGUUAAACGGGUCAAAAUAAGCUUUAAGCGAAAGUGUGUUAAGAGGAUGCAAGACAUCUAAGAAUUUGAUCCUUUAUGAUAAACAACGUUGAAAUUAUAAGGUUCAUGAGGAAUCGAGGUCAAAUAAUCAGAUUAUGUUGAUAAAAGCAUGAACGGGUCAAAACUUGGUAAAAAGGUAAUAAGUCGAUAGCUUAAAAGAUUCGAAUUUUGUUAAUCUGGAUGUCGAAUGUUAACUCCAUGAGAUGGGGAAUUUAAUUACGGUCGCGUAGGAAAAAGAAUCGAGUGAAACGGGUGCAAAACGAGCAAGCUAUGCGAGUUUUAGCAUUUUUGAAUGAUAGCUGAUCUGGGUGCUACCGUAACUUACGGUAGCUACCGUAAGUUACGGUAGGCUCUGAAGCCAUUUUUCUACCGUAAAGCAGUAGGUUGUCACCGUAAGGAAUUGGUGGCGCACGGUCGUGCGCUUGGCCGCACGGUCGUGCAUAUCCGAGUAAAUCAAUGCACGGGCUUGUGCACUACCAGUGCCCCCGACGUCGUAGGUACCGCACGGUCAUGCGGUUGGACGCACGGCCAUGCGUCAGCUGCAAGUUCAUUAAAAUGUGCAGAAUUCGUCCAAAUCAGUCCCAUAGCCCAUAGGGUGUCCCAAAAUGUAAUCUAACUUAUUGUAAAGUGUUUAUGAGCUGCAAUGAGCGUGUGCGCAGGCAUGAAAUGGAGCAAGAUAAGUAUAGAGGCAUAUGUAAGUUUAUGGAGGUACGUAUGUGAUUAGGCAUGUAUGAGUUAGGUAUGCUACUAGCAGGAAUGUAUAUUUGUAUAUAUGUAUAAUGUCGGAAGUGUACGCAAUGAUGGAGGUAUGGGUGUAUGUAGAUACGCAUGAAGUGACAUAGAUGUGUUUAUAUAAGGGUACGAACGUAUGUAUGUAAUUGGUUAUGUGUGAUUAUUUAAUUAUGUACAAGUAUGUAAGAAAAUAGCUACGCAUGUACCCAAUGAAAUUAGUGCUAACGAUAUUAAUAGUAUGCCUGGUGAAUGAAGUGGAACGCAGGAUUAGCAAGGAAGUCUCACCGGGGAUCAUAUGAUCAAAUGGAAAGCUGGAACGUAAAGAACUAAUGGAACAAAGAGUAAACGUGAAUAAAUCUUGUGUGUUUAUGAUGCGUGCUAAUGUUAUGACUUUAUGUGGUGAGCGCAGGUAGUACGAAACACGAGGAUCAUCAAGGGAUAGAGAUCAAGGACCGAGUCACAUGAAGGAUUGUAUGGGGUGUAUAAGAAUGUAAUUUGUUAUAUAUAAGUUAUGUUUUAUUCUAUAAUUGAGUUAGUUUGAUGUAUUCAAUAUAGAGGAGUUAUUUUAAAAGUGAACUUUCAUGUAAGACAUAAGGUUUAUAAUGAAAGAAAUUU
RNAcentral lists this long non-coding RNA (1813 nucleotides) under Helianthus annuus (common sunflower). RNAcentral describes it as "hypothetical non coding rna". Lineage: Eukaryota; Viridiplantae; Streptophyta; Magnoliopsida; Asterales; Asteraceae. The record is from RNAcentral.